UACAGAGGUCCCAAGCGUUGUUCGGAUUCACUGGGCGUAAAGGGUGCGUAGGUGGUGAGGUAAGUCGGAUGUGAAAUCUCCGAGCUCAACUCGGAAACUGCAUUGGAAACUACCUUGCUCGAGGGUUGGAGGGGGGACUGGAAUGCUUGGUGUAGCAGUGAAAUGCGUAGAUAUCAAGCGGAACACCAGUGGCGAAGGCGAGUCCCUGGACAACUCCUGACGCUGAGGCACGAAAGCUAGGGGAGCAAACAGG
RNAcentral lists this ribosomal RNA (253 nucleotides) under uncultured bacterium. RNAcentral's name for it is "partial 16S ribosomal RNA". It matches the Rfam family "Bacterial small subunit ribosomal RNA", at positions 524 to 776 of the family's 1533-position model. The record is from RNAcentral.